GGACAUAGUGGCGGACGGGUGAGUAACGCGUGAGAAUCUGGCUUCAGGUCUGGGACAACCACUGGAAACGGUGGCUAAUACCGGAUGUGCCGAAAGGUGAAAGGUUAACUGCCUGAAGAUGAGCUCGCGUCUGAUUAGCUAGUUGGAAGUGUAAUGGACUCCCAAGGCGACGAUCAGUAGCUGGUCUGAGAGGACGAUCAGCCACACUGGGACUGAGACACGGCCCAGACUCCUACGGGAGGCAGCAGUGGGGAAUUUUCCGCAAUGGGCGAAAGCCUGACGGAGCAAUACCGCGUGAGGGAGGAAGGCUCUUGGGUCGUAAACCUCUUUUCUCAGGGAAGAACACAAUGACGGUACCUGAGGAAUAAGCAUCGGCUAACUCCGUGCCAGCAGCCGCGGUAAUACGGAGGAUGCAAGCGUUAUCCGGAAUGAUUGGGCGUAAAGCGUCCGCAGGUGGCAAUGUAAGUCUGCUGUUAAAGAGUCUAGCUCAACUAGAUAAGAGCAGUGGAAACUACAUAGCUAGAGUACGUUCGGGGCAGAGGGAAUUCCUGGUGUAGCGGUGAAAUGCGUAGAGAUCAGGAAGAACACCAGUGGCGAAGGCGCUCUGCUAGGCCGUAACUGACACUGAGGGACGAAAGCUAGGGGAGCGAAUGGGAUUAGAUACCCCAGUAGUCCUAGCCGUAAACGAUGGAUACUAGGCGUG
Molecule: ribosomal RNA, 703 nt
Filed under: Nostoc sp. 'Peltigera sp. N47 cyanobiont'
Lineage: Bacteria; Bacillati; Cyanobacteriota; Cyanophyceae; Nostocales; Nostocaceae
Description: bacterial SSU rRNA
Rfam family: Bacterial small subunit ribosomal RNA
Source: RNAcentral